Epinephelus fuscoguttatus (brown-marbled grouper) is the source of this 2628-nucleotide long non-coding RNA. RefSeq lists it as uncharacterized. The transcript has 3 exons. The record is from RefSeq and is a predicted model, not a curated record. Lineage: Eukaryota; Metazoa; Chordata; Actinopteri; Perciformes; Serranidae.
ACAAGAUGUUUGACGAUGCCGUUCUUAGUGCCUUUUUCAGGCUUGUUUUGCUUAUAUUCUUGAAGCAGCAGUACGACAACAACCUUGUUCUGCUAAUGCUUCAUCUGUUGAGGAGGAGAACGGAGGUAGAAGGUCGAAGAAGGGAGAUAGAAGACCGUGCUGUGGCGAAUGGAAACCGGAAGCCUCAUUGUCUGUCCAGUGGUAGCAAUCUGCCACCGGCCGUGGUUACCAAUUUGAACCGGAGUAUACCGAGGAGGAACUUCCGCAAAGAGAGAUGGAGAUGGAGAUGGAGGCCAGGGCUGCAGAGCCAUCUCUAAGCCCAGAGCAGCUCAGCUGAAGCUGGACCUGUCCCCAGAGUCACUGGCACUUAGUGGUGCUCCUGUGGAAAGUGCAGACAGAUGCCCACGGAGAAAAGAGUAGGUGCUGUGACAAAUGGGACCUCAUAGUCACUGCGGAGAUGGCAAAUCUGAAUGUCUCUGGAGACGUGUUUUUACGUCCCUAAAAUUAACUGGAAAAAGCGUCCCACACCCGAGGGAUUGAAUGAGCAGCUGUUGCAGAGACAAUACCAACUGGUGGCAUAUAGAGUGAUUCUGGAGUGGGCCCUCAAGUGCCAACAACUUGGACGUGGAAAUCGAGUUGCACUGCCUAGUUGUGUGGUGUGGGCCAUCAGAGACGCGUUCCCAUCCCCCGAUGGACAGUACGCAGGAUUCACAGCGAGGGAGAUAGAGUAUUUAUUCUGACCUCUGAACUGAACAACACAGUUCAUCUCAACAAAAGCUUUUAUUUCUUAUCUUUUCAGGGUGUUUUUGUAAAUAAAAUGCUCAUCACACUGUAUAAAACUAUUUUCACACUGUAUAAAAGGUAGGAAAAAAAGUGAGAACUGAUUGAAGGAGUUUGUAAUUGUACGAUGCCUUUGAACACAAUGCCAACCUUCUUUUUCUGCUUCUUUUCUCUGUCCCAUUACAUUGCAGUGGUUUCCUGCCGGUUGGCGACACCCAUGCAAAGGAGCAUUAUCGCCAUCAAGUGGGCUGGAGUGUAUAACGCUUCAGUGUCAAUCGAAUGAUCAAGCGGAAAUUUACACACGGGUGUGAGGCAGCUGAAAAAAUAGUUCCACAAUCAAGAUGAAUAGUGAAAACACGGAUGGAAACCACAGUUUGCUAUGAUUUUUAUGUCAAAACAUCAACGAAUACCACUGACCACUUGGUGAGUUUCAUGGCUUUGAAAACGAAUGUUUAGGGUGGUUUCAGGACAGAUUUACACAUGGCCAUAGACAGCAUUGUUAAGCCAGGCAGGGGAAAUCCAAAUUCUCUGAAAAGGAGCAAUCGUCAAAACUUUGGUCUUAACCACUCUAUUUCAUCCUAAACAACCCAGAAAUGGGGCUCAAAGUGCAAAAUACUGCACUUCUUCCUUAAUUAAUGUUACAAAUCAGUGUUUCUCCUAUGCUGUUCAGCUCGUCACAGAUGGGUUGCUAUCCCAGCAUCUGCUAAUGUGUGCUCACCUUACUUCUCUGAUAACUUAAGAUCCAGAUGUUCAGGAGGUUUUUGCUGGGAGCCAAAGUAUCCACAGAGGUCCUUUGCUCUUCAAAACAAAUGGGCUCCAUGAUUUAAACCAGUAAAAACAGUAAACAGUAAAAACUGCUGCAGAGACUGGAUCACUUAAUUGGCUUAAAAGGUUCAGCACUAAGCUGGUUUAAAUCUUAUUUAUCUGAUCGUUUUCAAUUUGUUGACGUUCGCAAUGAACCAUCCUUACGUACUAAAGUUUGUUUUGGAGUUCCGCAAGGUUCUGUGCUCGGACCAAUCCUGUUUACUCUAUAUAUGCUUCCUUUAGGUAACAUCAUUAGAAAUCACUCUAUAAAUUUCCAUUGUUAUGCGGAUGAUACUCAGUUGUAUUUAUCAAUGAAGCCAGAAAAAAGCAAUCAAUUAACUAAACUCCAUAAUUGCCUUAAAGACAUAAAAACUUGGAUGAGCACCAAUUUCCUAAUGUUAAAUUCAGACAAAACUGAAGUUAUUGUUCUUGGCCCCAAACAACUCAGAGACUCUUUAUCUGAUGACAUAGUUUCUCUAGAUGGCAUUGCUCUGGCCCCUGCCACUACCGUAAGAAACCUCGGAGUAACAUUUGAUCAAGAUUUGUCUUUUAAUUCUCAUUUAAAACAAACCUCACGGACUGCAUUUUUUCAUCUGCGUAAUAUUGCGAAAAUUAGGCCUAUCCUGACCCGAAAAGAUGCAGAAAAAUUGGUCCACGCUUUUGUUACCUCAAGGCUGGAUUAUUGUAACUCUCUAUUAUCAGGUAGCUCUAGUAAGUCCUUAAAAACUCUCCAGCUAAUUCAGAAUGCAGCAGCACGUGUACUAACAGGAACUAAGAAACCAGAUCAUAUUUCUCCUGUUUUAGCUUCUCUGCACUGGCUCCCUGUAAAAUCCAGAAUUGAAUUUAAAAUCCUACUGUUAACUUAUAAAGCUCUAAAUGGUCAAGCUCCGUCAUAUCUUAGAGAGCUCAUAGUGCCUUAUUAUCUCAUCAGAACACUGCGCUCUGAGAACGCAGGGUUACUCGUGGUCCCUAAAGUCUCCAAAAGUAGAUCAGGAGCCAGAGCCUUCAGCUAUCAGGCUCCUCUCCUGUGGAAUCACCUUCCUG